RNAcentral lists this ribosomal RNA (464 nucleotides) under uncultured bacterium. RNAcentral's name for it is "partial 16S ribosomal RNA". It matches the Rfam family "Bacterial small subunit ribosomal RNA", at positions 28 to 507 of the family's 1533-position model. The record is from RNAcentral.
GACGAACGCUGGCGGCGUGCUUAACACAUGCAAGUCGAACGAUGAACCGGUUUCGGCCGGGGAUUAGUGGCGAACGGGUGAGUAACACGUGGGCAAUCUGCCCUUCACUCUGGGAUAAGCCCGGGAAACUGGGUCUAAUACCGGUUACGACACUCCGAGGCAUCUUGGGGUGUGGAAAGUUCCGGCGGUGCAGGAUGAGCCCGCGGCCUAUCAGCUUGUUGGUGGGGUAAUGGCCUACCAAGGCGACGACGGGUAGCCGGCCUGAGAGGGUGACCGGCCACACUGGGACUGAGACACGGCCCAGACUCCUACGGGAGGCAGCAGUGGGGAAUAUUGCACAAUGGGCGAAAGCCUGAUGCAGCGACGCCGCGUGCGGGAUGACGGCCUUCGGGUUGUAAACCUCUUUCAGCAGGGAAGAAGCGAAAGUGACGGUACCUGCAGAAGAAGCACCGGCUAACUACGUG